Molecule: ribosomal RNA, 119 nt
Filed under: Pteropus alecto (black flying fox)
Lineage: Eukaryota; Metazoa; Chordata; Mammalia; Chiroptera; Pteropodidae
Source: RNAcentral
AUCUACGGCCAUGCCACCCUGAACAAGCCCAAUUCCAUCUGAUCUCAGAAGCUAAGCAGGGUCGGGCCUGGUUAGUACUUGGAUGGGAAACCACCUAGGAAGACUAGGUGGUAUAGGCA